ACAGUACAUCACCUUCAUGAGCGCAUCAGUGAACACCAGUCUAAGGAAGACAUCUCUGAACGUAAUUUUGGAGAUUUUGAUGAGUUCCAUUGAAACAAGGAGGAAUGUGAUGUCCAGUAUCAGUUCUGCAGACCCAAGGACAAAGAAAAUUCUGUGAUAAACUCAUCCAGUGUGACUGUAAUGUGGGUAUCUAUUUGAUACCUCCAAGUAACUGUUUAUUCUUGUGCCAGUUGAGUAGAUGGUACGGGCCAGUUGGUGUUGAUUAGUGAACCACGGACAAAGGGCAUAUGUCACAUGAGUUGCUCCUGGAUAAAGUCACCCAGUCACUUCCUGAUGAAUAUCCUGCAUAAACUCCAAAGACAAAAGAGAGUUAAGGAUACAAGACACCGGACUUUCAAAUCAACAAUUGUUUCAAAAGACUCCUACUGGAUUCCUGCUAGUGAUGGGAGAAAAUUAUCAUUCUGUGAGUUGUCAAUAAAUGUUUAACCACA
This 491-nucleotide long non-coding RNA is filed under the name Homo sapiens (human). RNAcentral's name for it is "long independently transcribed non-coding RNA 2359, transcript variant 7 (LINC02359)". Lineage: Eukaryota; Metazoa; Chordata; Mammalia; Primates; Hominidae. The record is from RNAcentral.